GGUAAAUUUAGUAGAAGAAGAAGAAGAGGAGAAGGGAACAGAGAGCCUAUUCAGACAAAUAGUUAUGAGAACUUACCAAACCUGUGGAAAGAGCUAGAUCCUCAAAUCCAGGAAGCAAACAGAACACCUAUUUACCUCAAUCCAAAAACUCCUUCUUCAAGGCACAUUGUAUUUAAACUCUCAUAAAUUAAGGACUAAAACAAACAAACAAAAAAGAAUUCUCAAAGCAGCCUGGGAAAAGAAUAAAGUAACCUAAAAAGGAAAGCCCAUUAAAUUAUUAGACUUCUCAGCAGAAACUCUACAAGCUAGAAGAGAGUGGAACCAAAUAUUCAAACUACUGAAAGAGAAAUUACCAGCUAAGAAUAAUAUAUCUGGCAAAGUUAUCCUUUAGAUAUGAAGAACACCUAAAGACUUCUCCAGACAUACAGAAGCUUAUGGAAUUUAUUAUUAAAAGACCUCUACUGCAGGGAAUACUCAAGGGGAUUAUUACCUGAAACCAAGAACAAAAGAUCACAAAACUACAACUAAGAUCACCAACAAACUCAACAGCAUAGGAAGGGAUUAUUUGUGACAACAAAAAGAAAAAGGGAGGGAGUAAAGUUCUGAAUUUGCACAGGGGGAUGGAGAUUAGAUGCAUUCAAAAGAAAAAGGACUAAUGUAU
Phyllostomus discolor (pale spear-nosed bat) is the source of this 661-nucleotide long non-coding RNA. RefSeq lists it as uncharacterized. The record is from RefSeq and is a predicted model, not a curated record. Lineage: Eukaryota; Metazoa; Chordata; Mammalia; Chiroptera; Phyllostomidae. The transcript is spliced from 3 exons.